RNAcentral lists this ribosomal RNA (492 nucleotides) under uncultured bacterium. Its description in RNAcentral is "partial 16S ribosomal RNA". It matches the Rfam family "Bacterial small subunit ribosomal RNA", at positions 28 to 507 of the family's 1533-position model. The record is from RNAcentral.
GAUGAACGCUAGCUACAGGCUUAACACAUGCAAGUCGAGGGGAAACGCCAUCGCAAGCUUGCUUUUGAUGGGCGUCGACCGGCGCACGGGUGAGUAACGCGUAUCCAACCUGCCCAUCACUUGGGAAUAACCUUGCGAAAGUAAGACUAAUACCCAAUGAUAUCCCACGAAGGCAUCGGAAUGGGAUUAAAGAUUUAUCGGUGAUGGAUGGGGAUGCGUCUGAUUAGCUUGUUGGCGGGGUAACGGCCCACCAAGGCAACGAUCAGUAGGGGUUCUGAGAGGAAGGUCCCCCACAUUGGAACUGAGACACGGUCCAAACUCCUACGGGAGGCAGCAGUGAGGAAUAUUGGUCAAUGAGCGAGAGCAUGAACCAGCCAAGUAGCGUGCAGGAAGACGGCCUUAUGGGUUGUAAACUGCUUUUAUAAGGGAAUAAAGUGGGUCACGUGUGACUUUUUGCAUGUACCUUAUGAAUAAGGACCGGCUAAUUCCGUG